This 413-nucleotide ribosomal RNA is filed under the name uncultured bacterium. RNAcentral describes it as "bacterial SSU rRNA". It matches the Rfam family "Bacterial small subunit ribosomal RNA", at positions 28 to 424 of the family's 1533-position model. The record is from RNAcentral.
GAUGAACGCUGGCGGCGUGCCUAACACAUGCAAGUCGAACGGAGUUAUUUUGGAAAGUCCUUCGGGGCUGGAGUCUAUAACUUAGUGGCGGACGGGUGAGUAACGCGUGAGCAAUCUGCCUCAGAGUGGGGGAUAACAGUCGGAAACGACUGCUAAUACCGCAUAAUGCAGUGGGAUCGCAUGGUUCUGCUGCCAAAGGCUUGUCUGCUCUGAGAUGAGCUCGCGUCUGAUUAGCUAGUUGGCGGGGUAACGCCCACCAAGGCGACGAUCAGUAGCCGGACUGAGAGGGUUGAACGGCCACAUUGGGACUGAGACACGGGCCCAGACUCCUACGGGAGCAGCAGUGGGGAAUAUUGCGCAAUGGGGCAACCCUGACGCAGCAACGCCGCGUGAUCGAAGAAGGCCUUCGGGUU